RNAcentral lists this ribosomal RNA (486 nucleotides) under uncultured bacterium. RNAcentral's name for it is "bacterial SSU rRNA". It matches the Rfam family "Bacterial small subunit ribosomal RNA", at positions 28 to 535 of the family's 1533-position model. The record is from RNAcentral.
AAUGAACGUUGGCGGCGUGGAUUAGGCAUGCAAGUCGAGCGUACCCAGCAAUGGGGAAGCGGCAAACGGGGUAGUAAGGCGUCGGUACGUGCCCUCGGGACGAGGAUAGCCACGGGAAACUGUGGGUAAUACUCGAUGACAUCGUGAGAUCAAAGGUGUGAUUCCGCCCGGGGAGCGGCUGACGUGGUAUUAGGUAGUUGGUGGGGUAAUGGCCCACCAAGCCUGGGAUGCCUAGGGGGUGUGAGAGCAUGGCCCCCACCAUUGGGACUGAGAUACUGCCCAGACACCUACGGGUGGCUGCAGUCGAGAAUCUUCGGCAAUGGGCGCAAGCCUGACCGAGCGACGCCGCGUGCGGGAUGAAGGCCUUCGGUUGUAACCGCUGUCAGGGGGAGUGAAAUCAUGGUGGGUUCUCCCAUCAUGUUGACAGAGCCCACGAGGAAGCGCGGGCUAAGUUCGUGCCAGCAGCCGCGGUAAUGUCUAGCAUGC